CAGAGACUUUUUGUCCCUCUUUGAGGUAGAGCCAUGUUGUCCUCAAGAGACAAGAAUAUGGAAAGCAGCAGAGGCUCGCUGUCAGCAUAACCAAAAAAGAGAGAGGAAAAGACCCCAGAAGACGUUUCCUCGAGCAAGAGAUCCAGGGUGGGGAAGUUCAUUCUAACUUGCUGCUUAUGUUGCAUUUGUGUCUCUCCACCGAAAUCACCACCAGGGCUGGCGAUUGAUGACAAGUCCAAAGAGGGAAAAGAGUCAGAGGCAUAACACCAUUGCCGGAAUGAACAUGACAGACCAUGACCACCAACGUAUGGCUCAAUCAGGCAACCAUCCCAUGGGUGUUCAGUUUAAACCUCCCAAACUGGAGCAGAAACAACAAAGCAGCUACUUCAUUUUUACAGCAUCUGAUCCUGAUCUCCCAGUGAACAUUUACAUGCCCCUCUUCAUGUGCAGGAUGCAUUCCAAGAAAAUGGAGCACUCAGCAGUAAAUGUAAUCCCGGCUAUACACUGAAUACUAAGUAACUGUUGACAACAGGGUUGGUUGGUUGCAUGCAUCCAGGAUCUAUUACUGGACUGCCAUCAAGCCACAACUGAAACGCUAACAUUCAAAAUGUCUUUCCAUAAACUCAUGCAAUCAAGAAGCAAGACAUCAAGUUACAAGACAUGAAUAUGAAAUGCAAAAAAGAGCAUAUUGAUGUACUAUAGUGUGGAGAGGGAAUCAUAGAAGAACGAUGUAAAGUGACAUUUUAGAAAAGUAGGCAUCUGUUUCAUA
Non-coding RNA from Pogona vitticeps (central bearded dragon), 769 nucleotides. The record is from RefSeq and is a predicted model, not a curated record. Lineage: Eukaryota; Metazoa; Chordata; Lepidosauria; Squamata; Agamidae.